Molecule: long non-coding RNA, 247 nt
Organism: Clupea harengus (Atlantic herring)
Lineage: Eukaryota; Metazoa; Chordata; Actinopteri; Clupeiformes; Clupeidae
Exons: 3
Source: RefSeq, a predicted model, not a curated record
CUUCUGGAGGAUCCCAACUGUAAACUGGAGACACUAGGACUGUCAAACUGCAGUAUUACAGAAGAGGGCUUCAGCUCCCUUGCAUCAGCGCUGAGAUCAAACCCUUCACACAUGAGAGAGCUGUUGCUGGAAAGGAGUAAAGCAGGAGACACAGGAGUGAAGCAUCUUUCUUCUCUUCUGGAGUAUCCCAACUGUAAGCUGGAAACACUAGACCUGGAAGACUGCAGUAUUACAGAAGAGGGCUUCA